CACAUGUUACAUGGGUGGACAGUAAAUAACAGAGCACAUGUUACAUGGGAGUACAGUAAUUAACAGAGCACAUGUUACAUGGGUGGACAGUAAAUAACAGAGCACAUGUUACAUGGGAGUACAGUAAAUAACAGAGCACAUGUUACAUGGGAGUACAGUAAUUAACAGAGCACAUGUUACAUGGGAGUACAGUAAAUAACAGAGCACAUGUUACUACAUGGGAGUACAGUAAUUAACAGAGCACAUGCUAUAUGGGUGGACAGUAAAUAACAGAGCACAUGUUACAUGGGUGGACAGUAAUUAACAGAGCACAUGUUACAUGGGUGGACAGUAAAUAACAGAGCACAUGUUACAUGGGUGGACAGUAAAUAACAGAGCACAUGUUACAUGGGUGGACAGUAAUUAACAGAGCACAUGUUACAUGGGAGUACAGUAAAUAACAGAGCACAUGUUACAUGGAAGUACAGUAAUUAACAGAGCACAUGUUACAUGGGAGUACAGUAAUUAACAGAGCACAUGUUACAUGGGAGUACAGUAAAUAACAGAGCACAUGUUACAUGGGAGUACAGUAAAUAACAGAGCACAUGUUACAUGGGAGUACAGUAAAUAACAGAGCACAUGUUACAUGGGUGGACAGUAAUGAACAGAGCACAUGUUACAUGGGUGGACAGUAAUCAACAGAGCACAUGUUACAUGGGUGGACAGUAAUUAACAGAGCACAUGUUACAUGGGAGUACAGUAAUAAACAGAGCACAUGUUACAUGGGAGUACAGUAAAUAACAGAGCACAUGUUACAUGGGUGGACAGUAAAUAACAGAGCACAUGUUACAUAGAAGUACAGUAAUUAACAGAGCACAUGUUACAUGGGAGUACAGUAAUAAACAGAGCACAUGUUACAUGGGAGUACAGUAAUUAACAGAGCACAUGUUACAUGGGAGUACAGUAAAUAACAGAGCACAUGUUACAUGGGAGUACAGUAAAUUAACAGAGCACAUGUUACAUGGGAGUACAGUAAUUAACAGAGCACAUGUUACAUGGGAGUACAGUAAUUAACAGAGCACCGUUGUGUUUCUGGUAGGAGGAGUAGUGCUCCCUUUUGGGCUGGGACUCUUGAUGGUGAGUGUUACAGUCUCACCAGCCCACAGGCAUCUCUGGACAGACUGUUCACAGUUCCUGAAUGCGUGUGCAAGAUUACACACUCAAAAACACAAACGCACACACAAAUGGCUAGCUAAUUUUCCUCCCAACAAAGGGACACCCCCUAAAUCCACUGAAAUGUCAAACAUGCUAAUUGCUAACCCGUUAGCUAACAUUAUUACAACACCAAUAAUCACAAGACAUUGAUGGCUUGAUCACAAGAUAACACUGUUGAAGGUAAUAUAUUUCUUAAAUAAUACGGGUUGAUAUGCUAGCAUGUUUCACCAGGAAGGGUGCUGUUGAAGUGGGUAACCCACAGCACAAUAUCAGGUGCAGUGAGAUUGGAUUAAAACGUCCUGUAUUAGUGACAUACUUGGUAUUUUAUCACUUCAUCAACAGCUUCCAAAGCCCUUUUUUUAACAUACUAUACUUUCCACUUUCCAAUGUCAUUUUUCAAACCAAAGCAACAAGGCUUCAAGUUUCUCAAAAGUAUUAUUGAACGUCGCAGACACACUCAUAACCCAGUGACUGCACAGACAUUCUCUGUUAUUUGUUUACGGGCGACCACAUCCGUCUGGUGGAAGCAGAGACCUUCGGGCUGGUCCCCCCCACCACACACAC
Molecule: long non-coding RNA, 1758 nt
Filed under: Salmo salar (Atlantic salmon)
Lineage: Eukaryota; Metazoa; Chordata; Actinopteri; Salmoniformes; Salmonidae
Description: lncRNA (ENSSSAG00000115380.1)
Source: RNAcentral